Molecule: transfer RNA, 85 nt
Filed under: Iamia majanohamensis
Lineage: Bacteria; Bacillati; Actinomycetota; Acidimicrobiia; Acidimicrobiales; Iamiaceae
Also listed under: 3 other names
Description: tRNA-Tyr
Rfam family: tRNA
About the family: Transfer RNA (tRNA) molecules are approximately 80 nucleotides in length.
Source: RNAcentral
GGGUCAGUGCCCGAGCGGCCAAAGGGAGCAGACUGUAAAUCUGCCGGCACAGCCUUCGGAGGUUCGAAUCCUCCCUGGCCCACCA